This 440-nucleotide ribosomal RNA is filed under the name uncultured bacterium. RNAcentral's name for it is "partial 16S ribosomal RNA". It matches the Rfam family "Bacterial small subunit ribosomal RNA", at positions 338 to 795 of the family's 1533-position model. The record is from RNAcentral.
CCUACGGGCGGCAGCAGUGAGGAAUAUUGGGCAAUGGAGGCAACUCUGACCCAGCCAUGCCGCGUGAGUGAAGAAGGUUUUCGGAUUGUAAAGCUCUUUCGGAUGUGACGAUGAUGACGGUAGCAUCUAAAGACGCCCCGGCUAACUUCGUGCCAGCAGCCGCGGUACUACGUAGGGGGCAAGCGUUGUUCGGAAUUACUGGGCGUAAAGGGAGUGUAGGCGGUUUAGAAAGGUAGUGGGGAAAUCCCAGUGCUUAACUUUGGAUUUGCCAUUAUAACUAUUAGACUAGAAUGACAGAGGGGAUAGUGGAAUACCCAGUGUAGAGGUGAAAUUCGUAGAUAUAGGGUAGAACACCAGUGGCGAAGGCGACUAUCUGGCUGUACACUGACGCUGAGGCUCGAAAGCAUGGGGAGCAAACAGGAUUAGAUACCCGUGUAGUC